CGCUGCCAAAUUUUUGCCCCCCCAGUGGAGGGUUAUGAAACACGUAUGUUGUGCGGCAGCGAUGCUGAGACAUUGUAGAAUCUCUGACCAGAGCAGUUGCGCUCGACUCGCAGUAGCGAGCAGUCAGUCAGUCUGCAGUAGUCAGUCCGCAGUAGUGCUUGGAGUCGGUUGCUAGCAGUAGCGGAGAGCAGUCGGCGGGCGUCGGCACCGCAAUGGUCGAGAUACAGGAUAAGCACUUCUUCGGCGACUCGCGGCGGCUGGUGUUCCCUAGCAGAUGCCUGCAAGCCACAUCAAAUGCCGCACUCAGCUUCCAACACUGCACGGACUGCUUCAGAGGUCGUCGGAAUAGACGACGACAAAAGAGUCGUCAACGAAGAAGCAAGACAAGAAUGAAUGUGUAUAAACGGUUCUGUAAGAUGUCUUCACUUCGAUUCAGUGUAUGUUUCCACUCAAAACGCAUGUCUGUAGUUUGUUACGAAAUAAAUGUUCACUGUUAUACGUA
Molecule: long non-coding RNA, 502 nt
Organism: Schistocerca nitens (vagrant locust)
Lineage: Eukaryota; Metazoa; Arthropoda; Insecta; Orthoptera; Acrididae
Exons: 2
Source: RefSeq, a predicted model, not a curated record